CCUACGGGAGGCUGCGGUGGGGAAUAUUGGACAAUGGGCGAAAGCCUGAUCCAGCCAUGCCGCGUGUGUGAAGAAGGCCUUCGGGUUGUAAAGCACUUUCAGUGGGGAAGAAAGCCUUGGGGCUAAUACCCUCGAGGAAGGACAUCACCCACAGAAGAAGCACCGGCUAACUCCGUGCCAGCAGCCGCGGUAAUACGGAGGGUGCGAGCGUUAAUCGGAAUUACUGGGCGUAAAGCGCGCGUAGGCGGUCUGAUAAGCCGGUUGUGAAAGCCCCGGGCUCAACCUGGGAACGGCAUCCGGAACUGUCAGGCUAGAGUGCAGGAGAGGAAGGUAGAAUUCCCGGUGUAGCGGUGAAAUGCGUAGAGAUCGGGAGGAAUACCAGUGGCGAAGGCGGCCUUCUGGACUGACACUGACGCUGAGGUGCGAAAGCGUGGGUAGCAAACAGGAUUAGAUACCCUGGUAGUC
Molecule: ribosomal RNA, 465 nt
Filed under: Vreelandella stevensii
Lineage: Bacteria; Pseudomonadati; Pseudomonadota; Gammaproteobacteria; Oceanospirillales; Halomonadaceae
Description: partial 16S ribosomal RNA
Rfam family: Bacterial small subunit ribosomal RNA
Source: RNAcentral